GUGGGGAAUCUUGCGCAAUGGGCGAAAGCCUGACGCAGCCAUGCCGCGUGAAUGAUGAAGGUCUUAGGAUUGUAAAAUUCUUUCACCGGGGACGAUAAUGACGGUACCCGGAGAAGAAGCCCCGGCUAACUUCGUGCCAGCAGCCGCGGUAAUACGAAGGGGGCUAGCGUUGCUCGGAAUUACUGGGCGUAAAGGGCGCGUAGGCGGACAGUUUAGUCAGAGGAGAAGGCCCAGGGCUCAACCUUGGAAUUGCCUUUGAUACUGGCUGUCUUGAGUACGGGAGAGGUGAGUGGAACUCCGAGUGUAGAGGUGAAAUUCGUAGAUAUUCGGAAGAACACCAGUGGCGAAGGCGACUCACUGGCCCGUUACUGACGCUGAGGCGCGAAAGCGUGGGGAGCAAACAGGAUUAGAAACCCCUGUAGUCC
Molecule: ribosomal RNA, 425 nt
Filed under: uncultured bacterium
Lineage: Bacteria
Description: partial 16S ribosomal RNA
Rfam family: Bacterial small subunit ribosomal RNA
Source: RNAcentral